Molecule: ribosomal RNA, 254 nt
Filed under: uncultured bacterium
Lineage: Bacteria
Description: partial 16S ribosomal RNA
Rfam family: Bacterial small subunit ribosomal RNA
Source: RNAcentral
UACGUAGGGUGCGAGCGUUGUCCGGAAUUAUUGGGCGUAAAGAGCUCGUAGGCGGUCUGUCGCGUCGUUCGUGAAAACUUGGGGCUUAACCCUGAGCUUGCGGUCGAUACGGGCAUGACUGGAGUUCGGCAGGGGAGACUGGAAUUCCUGGUGUAGCGGUGAAAUGCGCAGAUAUCAGGAGGAACACCGGUGGCGAAGGCGGGUCUCUGGGCCGAUACUGACGCUGAGGAGCGAAAGCGUGGGGAGCAAACAGG